GAGGGUAUAGCUCAGUGGUAGAGCACAUGCUUAGCUUGCACAAGGCCCUGGGUUCAAUCCCCAGUACCUCCA
Camelus ferus (Wild Bactrian camel) is the source of this 72-nucleotide transfer RNA. It matches the Rfam family "tRNA". Rfam says of the family: Transfer RNA (tRNA) molecules are approximately 80 nucleotides in length. Their secondary structure includes four short double-helical elements and three loops (D, anti-codon, and T loops). Further hydrogen bonds mediate the characteristic L-shaped molecular structure. tRNAs have two regions of fundamental functional importance: the anti-codon, which is responsible for specific mRNA codon recognition, and the 3' end, to which the tRNAs corresponding amino acid is attached (by aminoacyl-tRNA synthetases). tRNAs cope with the degeneracy of the genetic code in two manners: having more than one tRNA (with a specific anti-codon) for a particular amino acid; and 'wobble' base-pairing, i.e. permitting non-standard base-pairing at the 3rd anti-codon position. The record is from Rfam. NCBI's taxonomy places the organism in Eukaryota, Metazoa, Chordata, Mammalia, Artiodactyla, Camelidae.